This 423-nucleotide ribosomal RNA is filed under the name uncultured Bacillota bacterium. Its description in RNAcentral is "bacterial SSU rRNA". It matches the Rfam family "Bacterial small subunit ribosomal RNA", at positions 58 to 490 of the family's 1533-position model. Lineage: Bacteria; Bacillati; Bacillota. The record is from RNAcentral.
UAAGCGAAGCUUUUCAGUAGUUUCACUACAGAAAAUGACUGAGCGGCGAACGGGUGAGUAACGCGUGAGCAAUCUACCUUAGUUACAGGGAUAGCCCGAGGAAACUCGGAUUAAUACCUGAUAUUCUUUAUUUCUCGCAUCGAGAAUAAAAGGAAAGUGUCAGCCGAACUAAGAUGAGCUCGCGUUCUAUCAGCUUGUUCGGUGAGGUAAAACGCUUACCAAGGCUACGACGGAUAGCUGGUCUGAGAGGACGAUCAGCCACACUGGGACUGAGACACGGCCCAGACUCCUACGGGAGGCUGCAGCAGGGAAUAUUGUGCAAUGAACGAAAGUUUGACACAGCGACACCGCGUGUGGGAUGACGGAUCUAGGUUUGUAAACCACUUUCAAGGAGGGAAGAAACAUGACGGUACCUCCACAAAG